ACUCUGGUAGUGUAGUCGGUUAGCACGUGGGAUUUUGAUUAUUCAAAACCUUCCCGAGUCCUCGGUUCGAAUCCGAGCCGGAGUG
Non-coding RNA from Pestalotiopsis sp. NC0098, 85 nucleotides. Lineage: Eukaryota; Fungi; Ascomycota; Sordariomycetes; Amphisphaeriales; Sporocadaceae. The record is from the annotation of a GenBank genome assembly.